This 593-nucleotide ribosomal RNA is filed under the name uncultured Helotiales. RNAcentral's name for it is "eukaryotic LSU rRNA". The stretch from base 230 to 383 matches the Rfam family "5.8S ribosomal RNA". RNAcentral also lists the same sequence under 1 other name. The record is from RNAcentral. Lineage: Eukaryota; Fungi; Ascomycota; Leotiomycetes; Helotiales.
CUUGGUCAUUUAGAGGAAGUAAAAGUCGUAACAAGGUCUCCGUAGGUGAACCUGCGGAGGGAUCAUUACAGAGUUCGUGCCCUCGCGGGUAGAUCUCCCACCCUGUGCUAUCGAUACCUUUGUUGCUUUGGCGGGCCGCCCUCGGCUACCGGCCCCCGCUGGUACGCGCCCGCCAGAGGCCCCCCAAACCCUGAAUGUCAGUGUCGUCUGAGUACUAUACAAUAGUUAAAACUUUCAACAACGGAUCUCUUGGUUCUGGCAUCGAUGAAGAACGCAGCGAAAUGCGAUAAGUAAUGUGAAUUGCAGAAUUCAGUGAAUCAUCGAAUCUUUGAACGCACAUUGCGCCCCUUGGUAUUCCGAGGGGCAUGCCUGUUCGAGCGUCAUUUCAACCCUCAAGCGCAGCUUGGUCUUGGGCUUCGCCGCUGACGCGGCGGGUCUUAAAAUCAGUGGCGGUGCCGUCGGGCCCUGAGCGUAGUACAUCUCCUCGCUAUAGGACCCCGGCGGAUGCUGGCCAGCAACCCCCAAUCUUCCAUGGUUGACCUCGGAUCAGGUAGGGAUACCCGCUGAACUUAAGCAUAUCAAUAAGCGGAGGA